UACAGAGGUCUCAAGCGUUGUUCGGAUUCAUUGGGCGUAAAGGGUGCGCAGGUGGCGCCGUAAGUCGGGUGUGAAAUUUCGAGGCUUAACCUCGAAACUGCAUUCGAUACUGCGGUGCUUGAGGACUGGAGAGGAGACUGGAAUUCAUGGUGUAGCAGUGAAAUGCGUAGAGAUCAUGAGGAAGACCAGUGGCGAAGGCGGGUCUCUGGACAGUUCCUGACACUGAGGCACGAAGGCCAGGGGAGCAAACGGG
RNAcentral lists this ribosomal RNA (253 nucleotides) under uncultured bacterium. Its description in RNAcentral is "partial 16S ribosomal RNA". It matches the Rfam family "Bacterial small subunit ribosomal RNA", at positions 524 to 776 of the family's 1533-position model. The record is from RNAcentral.